This 247-nucleotide unclassified non-coding RNA is filed under the name Glomus sp. Its description in RNAcentral is "partial contains 5.8S ribosomal RNA and internal transcribed spacer 2". The stretch from base 1 to 65 matches the Rfam family "5.8S ribosomal RNA", at positions 84 to 154 of the family's 154-position model. The record is from RNAcentral. Lineage: Eukaryota; Fungi; Glomeromycota; Glomeromycetes; Glomerales; Glomeraceae.
GUGAAUCAUCGAAUUUUUGAACGCAAAUUGCACUCUCCUCUGUGAGUGUGCCUGUUUGAGGGUCAGCCUAUAAAAAAUCGACAUAGUUGCUGUUUUGCGGUGGCGUCCGUCUGGAAUUGGGUCAUCUUAUACCUUUUGGUUUUGAGCGACUUAAAAUUUUCUUUUUGGUUCCUUGAACGUUUCUAAUAUUUAUUUCUUUACACUUUUAAGGUAUCGAUUUUUAUUAGACGUGACAAUCAUAUCGGAU